This 498-nucleotide non-coding RNA is filed under the name uncultured Glomus. RNAcentral describes it as "SSU rRNA". It matches the Rfam family "Eukaryotic small subunit ribosomal RNA", at positions 591 to 1092 of the family's 1831-position model. Lineage: Eukaryota; Fungi; Glomeromycota; Glomeromycetes; Glomerales; Glomeraceae. RNAcentral also lists the same sequence under 1 other name. The record is from RNAcentral.
CCAAUAGCGUAUAUUAAAGUUGUUGCAGUUAAAAAGCUCGUAGUUGAAUUUCGGGAUCAAUAUGUUGGUCGUGCCUCGGUACGUACUAGCUUAUUGGUUUCUCCUUUCUGAAGAACCAUGAUGUCAUUUAUUUGGUGUCGUGGGGAAUCAGGACUGUUACUUUGAAAAAAUUAGAGUGUUUAAAGCAGGCUCACGCUUGAAUACAUUAGCAUGGAAUAAUGAAAUAGGACGUUUGAUUCUAUUUUGUUGGUUUCUAGGAUCGACGUAAUGAUUAAUAGGGAUAGUUGGGGGCAUUAGUAUUCAAUUGUCAGAGGUGAAAUUCUUGGAUUUAUUGAAGACUAACUACUGCGAAAGCAUUUGCCAAGGAUGUUUUCAUUAAUCAAGAACGAAAGUUAGGGGAUCGAAGACGAUCAGAUACCGUCGUAGUCUUAACCAUAAACUAUGCCGACUAGGGAUCGGAUGAUGUUAAUUUUUUAAUGACUCAUUCGGCGCCUUACG